Molecule: ribosomal RNA, 253 nt
Filed under: uncultured bacterium
Lineage: Bacteria
Description: partial 16S ribosomal RNA
Rfam family: Bacterial small subunit ribosomal RNA
Source: RNAcentral
UACGUAGGGUGCGAGCGUUGUCCGGAAUUAUUGGGCGUAAAGAGCUUGUAGGUGGCUCGUUGCGUCGGGAGUGAAAACCUGCGGCUUAACCGCAGGCCUGCUUCCGAUACGGGCGAGCUAGAGUUCGGCAGGGGAGACUGGAAUUCCUGGUGUAGCGGUGGAAUGCGCAGAUAUCAUUUGGAACGCCAAUGGUGAAAACAGGUCGCUGGGAGUGUGCUGACGCUGAGACACGAAAGCCAGGGGAGCAAACGGG